Molecule: ribosomal RNA, 273 nt
Filed under: uncultured bacterium
Lineage: Bacteria
Description: partial 16S ribosomal RNA
Rfam family: Bacterial small subunit ribosomal RNA
Source: RNAcentral
CCUACGGGACGCAGCAGUGGGGAAUAUUGCACGAUGGGCGAAAGCCUGAUGCAGCAACGCCGCGUGAAGGAGGAAGGUCUUCGGAUCGUAAACUUCUGUCCUUGGGGAAGAUAAUGACGGUACCCUUGGAGGAAGCCCCGGCUAACUACGUGCCAGCAGCCGCGGUAAUACGGAGGGUGCGAGCGUUAAUCGGAAUUACUGGGCGUAAAGCGCUCGUAGGCGGUAUGUCAAGUCAAGGGUGAAAUCCCCGCGCUCAACGUGGGAACUGCCUUU